This is a long non-coding RNA of Talpa occidentalis (Iberian mole), 559 nucleotides long. RefSeq lists it as uncharacterized. The transcript has 3 exons. The record is from RefSeq and is a predicted model, not a curated record. NCBI's taxonomy places the organism in Eukaryota, Metazoa, Chordata, Mammalia, Eulipotyphla, Talpidae.
CAGGAUUGCUGAGGGAGUCCUGGUCUUUGAGGAAAACAAGAACUCCCACCAUGAACUCUCACGGAACACUGCUGGGGGAAGCCAGACCCACAGGAGAGCCUACAGUGUCUUGAAGUCCCAAUGCAGGUCUGCUCUCCUCCAACCCCCAUUGCUUGUGGCCCAGGAAUCUGACGGGAAGGACUGCCUGUGCUGGCCUCUGACCUGAGCUGGGUUUAGCCAUUCGAGUCCUGGAAGGAGAUGGGAGAGGAAGAGGCUGAGACUGAAUUGUUUUUUCUAUUCACCACAUGGUUUUCUGAAUAUUUUAAGCCCACUGUUGAGACCUACUGCUCAGAAAAAGGUUCCUUUCAAAACACACACUGCUCACUGACAAUGCAGUUGUUCCCCAAGAGUUCUGAUGGAGGACAAAGAGAUGAAUGCCUGCUGUCACCUCAUCCCCUCUGCAGCUCAGGAUCAGGUCUUAUUAUUUAAGAAGUACAUUUCCUAAGGCUACAGCUUCCAGACAUACUGAUUCCCCUGAUGGAUCUGAGCAAAGUUAAUUGGAAACCUCCUGGGAAUGAUU